GGGGGAUUAGCUCAGUUGGCUAGAGCGCCUGCUCCGCAAGCAGGAAGUCAUCGGUUCGAAUCCGAUAUUCUCCACAA
RNAcentral lists this transfer RNA (77 nucleotides) under Hymenobacter nivis. RNAcentral's name for it is "tRNA-Ala". It matches the Rfam family "tRNA". Rfam says of the family: Transfer RNA (tRNA) molecules are approximately 80 nucleotides in length. Their secondary structure includes four short double-helical elements and three loops (D, anti-codon, and T loops). The record is from RNAcentral. Lineage: Bacteria; Pseudomonadati; Bacteroidota; Cytophagia; Cytophagales; Hymenobacteraceae.